UUUAAGCUUCCUACGGGAGGCUGCAGUGGGGAAUCUUGCGCAAUGGGCGAAAGCCUGACGCAGCCAUGCCGCGUGAAUGAUGAAGGUCUUAGGAUUGUAAAAUUCUUUCACCGGGGACGAUAAUGACGGUACCCGGAGAAGAAGCCCCGGCUAACUUCGUGCCAGCAGCCGCGGUAAUACGAAGGGGGCUAGCGUUGCUCGGAAUUACUGGGCGUAAAGGGAGCGUAGGCGGACAUUUAAGUCAGGGGUGAAAUCCCGGGGCUCAACCUCGGAAUUGCCUUUGAUACUGGGUGUCUUGAGUAUGAGAGAGGUGUGUGGAACUCCGAGUGUAGAGGUGAAAUUCGUAGAUAUUCGGAAGAACACCAGUGGCGAAGGCGACACACUGGCUCAUUACUGACGCUGAGGCUCGAAAGCGUGGGGAGCAAACAGGAUUAGAUACCCUUGUAGUCGAAUUC
This 455-nucleotide ribosomal RNA is filed under the name uncultured bacterium. Its description in RNAcentral is "bacterial SSU rRNA". It matches the Rfam family "Bacterial small subunit ribosomal RNA", at positions 329 to 801 of the family's 1533-position model. The record is from RNAcentral.